GGCAACAAACAUGUGCUUGGAAUUCUUUCAACAUGUUUCCCAUGCUCCUAAAACCUCUAAAAUUCAAAAUCCUCUUUGAUACCGCCUAAAACCUAUAUGUAUACUUGUUCUCUCACAAUGUACUCAUCGCUCACACCCAUACACACAAAGGUGUGAGGAGAGAGAGCGCGAGAUGCUUGAAAGAGGCAGAUAACUGGUGGGUUCCGGCCAUGGCGGCUGCGGUACAUGCCAGUUUCGCAAUGACGAGUUCAACCGAUCUAGCAGUUCUUCCUCCUGAUACAGGCAUCAUGAAGAGGGACUAGGAAAUAGGAGAAGGCAUAAACUUUUAUCUUUAUGAACAUGUUAAUGCCAAAAAUUAUUUCUUUUAUAUUUUCAAGACGAGUAUUAUCUUUACAUUAGAAGAAGCCCUUGGAGUGUUCGCUCUAAUAUCAAAGAUCAAGAGCCGACCCCAAAGGAAACGUUUGCACAGGAUUGUUGAUGAUAGCAACAAGGGCAGCUCUAAUAAGUGAGUGCAAUUAUUUUUAAAUAACUUUCUCUGCUUUCCAUAUUGUUUAAGAGAUUCUUUUAUGUGAAGUGAAUUUUAAGAAUGUUCACAAUGAUCGCCGGGCUGUACUCUAUCUGAAUGAUUGUGAUUGUGCGGAGGAACUUUGUCGUGAGAAGGCAACAUUUAUAAGGAAAAAAUUAUGUGCGCAAAGUCAGCCUCAGGACAUGGCUGUGGAAUUUCUGAUAAGAUUAUUCAUCUUAUUCUGUACUGUUACCUAUUAGUUUUUUUAUACUAAUACUCAUUAAAGUAUCGUCUACUUGAUUCUUUUUGAACUUGGUGUACUUUAUUUGAGGUAAUAUCCAUAAUCCAUCGGUUACAAAUCACUUUGGGAUAUAUUUGAUCUCUAACAGGUCAAACUGUUUGAAGGUUGACUAAUCUUUUUUUAUAAUGCA
Helianthus annuus (common sunflower) is the source of this 936-nucleotide long non-coding RNA. RefSeq lists it as uncharacterized. The transcript is spliced from 3 exons. NCBI's taxonomy places the organism in Eukaryota, Viridiplantae, Streptophyta, Magnoliopsida, Asterales, Asteraceae. The record is from RefSeq and is a predicted model, not a curated record.